UGCAAAUCAUUUCAUGGGCAAAGCAAGCAAUAAAGGGGUACUCCCACCCUAGACAUCUUAUCCCCUAUCCAAAGGAUAGGGGAUAAGAUGUCUGACCGCGGGGGUCCUACCGCUGGGAACCCCCGCAAUGUUGCAUGGCAUAGGCUCAGCUAAGGAAACGCCUAGCUUGCGCAGCCGGCCAAUCGGAUGAUAGGGGGCUCUAUGGACAGGAAGCAAAAACAUUAUGUAUCCAAAGAGAAAAACACCAUUGUCAUUAAUACUGCCUGGAUCAAAUAAAUGAAUGACACCAAAUUUGUAAUUUCUCAUUGGAAAGGGAAAGACUGGUGACAUGACACACAGGAUUUCCAGUAUUUAAUAAAUACAAGCUGACGCAGGAUACAUGCACUGAAAAGGGAUGUCAGGACCUCUUCUCUGUGCUGCGCACGAAUGCAUCUCAUUAGACCAGGCUUGUUUCUUAGCCAUCACCAACCGUGACAAUGGGAGCUGUCUACAUAACCAGAGAAAGUGCAAAUUGGGACUUAACUAAAUUGUUUCAAAAAUGUAAAUAUCAAAGUAAGACUCCUUUUUCAAUCUUCUUAAAAUGU
This is a long non-coding RNA of Hyla sarda, 584 nucleotides long. RefSeq lists it as uncharacterized. Lineage: Eukaryota; Metazoa; Chordata; Amphibia; Anura; Hylidae. The record is from RefSeq and is a predicted model, not a curated record. The transcript has 3 exons.